ACGCUCGACACCUACGGGAGCAGCAGUGGGGAAUAUUGCACAAUGGGGGAAACCCUGAUGCAGCGACGCCGCGUGAGCGAAGAAGUAUUUCGGUAUGUAAAGCUCUAUCAGCAGGGAAGAAACUGACGGUACCUGACUAAGAAGCACCGGCUAAAUACGUGCCAGCAGUCGCGGUAAUCUGAGCGGGCUGGCAAGGC
RNAcentral lists this ribosomal RNA (197 nucleotides) under uncultured bacterium. Its description in RNAcentral is "partial 16S ribosomal RNA". It matches the Rfam family "Bacterial small subunit ribosomal RNA", at positions 328 to 539 of the family's 1533-position model. The record is from RNAcentral.